UCGAGUUUUUGAAAUGGGUUGUAGCUGGCCUUUAAAGGCAUGUGCACGCCCUGCUCAAUCCACUCUUUAAACCCCUUAUGUGCACCUAUGUAGAGUUUGGUGUGAAAGUCGAGCUGGUUAAAAGGCUUGAUAGAAACUCCUCUACUCUAUGUUAUUUCUAAUACAAACGCUUCAGUUAUAGAAUGUGUUAUUUAUUUGCGUUAAACGCAUUAUAAUA
This 217-nucleotide unclassified non-coding RNA is filed under the name uncultured Basidiomycota. RNAcentral's name for it is "sequence contains ITS1". Lineage: Eukaryota; Fungi; Basidiomycota. The record is from RNAcentral.